CGACCGGCUGGGGAGUUCGGCCGCAAGGUUAAAACUCAAAUGAAUUGUCGGGGGCCCGCACUAGCGUUGGAGCAUGUGGUUUAAUUCGAUUCAACGCGAAGAACCUUACCUGGUAUUGACAUCCACAGAACUUUCCAGAGAUGGAUUGGUGCCUUAGGGAACUGUGAGAAAGGAUCUGCAUGGAUGUCGUCAGCUCGUGUUGUGAAAUGUUGGGUUAAGUCCAGCAACUAGCGCAACCCUU
RNAcentral lists this ribosomal RNA (241 nucleotides) under Klebsiella pneumoniae. RNAcentral describes it as "partial 16S ribosomal RNA". It matches the Rfam family "Bacterial small subunit ribosomal RNA", at positions 866 to 1106 of the family's 1533-position model. The record is from RNAcentral. Lineage: Bacteria; Pseudomonadati; Pseudomonadota; Gammaproteobacteria; Enterobacterales; Enterobacteriaceae.